Molecule: non-coding RNA, 402 nt
Organism: Nicotiana tabacum (common tobacco)
Lineage: Eukaryota; Viridiplantae; Streptophyta; Magnoliopsida; Solanales; Solanaceae
Source: RefSeq, a predicted model, not a curated record
ACAGAGAAGAAAAAAGAAGAUGAGGUACCUGUGGUUAGUAUGAGCCAGAUUCUCCGACGGUGGCCUGUUUUUGAUGUUCCUGUUGUUGUCAGAAUGCUGAGAUCUGCAAGACAACCACUUGUUAUAAUUAAAGCCUCAGCUUCAGCACAAUUUUACAAGCAGCACAUUACUUGGUGAAAUUGUUUUGGACAAAUAGACUCCAUUCUGCGGCCUGAACUAAGGUGAAAAGAUACCGACACAGGAAGAAGCAAAUAAAAUUAUAAAACAAAAGUCAUAUUGAAUCCUAAUGCAGAUGAGUCUGGCAUUGACCUCCACCAUAGUGGCAUCGGUUACAGUCCUCAGAGAGUUUCCAUUCUACUUGAAUUUCGGGACCUAACAAGUCAAACAAAUCACCAUCUCCCG